Poecilia reticulata (guppy) is the source of this 109-nucleotide non-coding RNA. Lineage: Eukaryota; Metazoa; Chordata; Actinopteri; Cyprinodontiformes; Poeciliidae. The record is from RefSeq and is a predicted model, not a curated record.
CAGAACAUCAUCGUAAUGUAAAAGUGAAGGAAUAAUCUGUUGGGUCCAGUUCCAGCUGCAGAGACCAAGUUCUAACCGGGACAGAAGAGGAAAUCAAAAAACAAAACGG